AGGAUGAAGCUCAGAAAUUUGCUUUUUAAAAAAUCUUACUCUUUAUUUUUAUCUCUAGUGAGGUAUAAUUAACAAAUAAAAAGUAUAACUUAAGGUACACAAUGUAAUGUUUUGAUAUACAUCUACAUGGUGAAAUAAUCACCACAAAGAAACUUGCAUUUUUAACAAACUCCUCAGGAGACUUAUAAAGGCAUUCAAGUUUGAGAAUAUGGGCCCUAGAGAUUAAAGAAAUUGCCCAGAUUCACACCCUCCCCCACUCACUCUCACACUUACUCACACUCACGUGUGGAGCUAAGACUGGAAUUCAGCUCUUCUAGUCUAGUGUCCUUCCCACGAAAACCCUGUCCCACUAAGUUGACAUGGUUACCCAUCACCAACAAGUCUGUACCACGGAGUUUCUAAGAUGCUUAUCAGGAACUCAGAUUCUAUCAUUUUCUUUUCUUUUUUUUCCUUCCUUCCUUCCUUCCUUCCUUCCUUCCUUCCUUCCUUCCUUCCUUCCUUCCUUCCUCCCUCCCUCCCUCCCUCUCUCUCUGUUUCACUCUUUCUCUCUUUCUUUCUUUCUUUUUUGUGACAGGGUCUCGUGCUUUCACCCAGACUGGAGUGCAGUGUCAAGAUCAUAGCUCACUGCAACCUCGAAUGCCUCAGCCUCCUGAGUGGCUGGGAUUACAGAUGUGCACCACUACGCCUGGCUAACUUUUGUAUUUUCUGUAGAGAUGGGGUCUUGCCAUGUUGCCCAGGUUGUUCUGAAACUCCUUAUCUGAAGUGAUCCUCCAGCCUUGGCCUCCCGAAGUGUUGGGAUUAUAGGCGUGAGACACCACACCUGGCCUAAAUUCUCUCAUUUUCUUUGGGGAGCAGGAUUCAGAUGAUUUUUUUACUCAUAUGUAAAAGCAAACUUCUCACCAAGGUAUAAACUAGCCCUCACAGCGCCUCACAGCCCUGCACAUGCUAUUCGUGUGACCUGGAAAUGCCUGUCCUGCCAUUAUUCAGCUGCCGUUUGUCUUCCAGGAAGCCUUCCUGAACUAGACUGCAAAUCAUCUCUCCAACCUCUUGGACCCCGAGCAUGUAAAUUCUACUUGGUUAAUUUGCCAAUGCUUUUAAUCUGUGAUACAUGCUCAUUUAAUCUUUUAUUCACAGAUACUUAUUCAGAAUCUACAGUGUGCAAGCAGUGCCUGUGUUUUGAUUACAAUCCCUUCCAUGAAAAUAUUAAUAAAACCAGACAUUGCCUCAACUCCACAAAUGCAGAAUAGUCUGCAGUCACCCAUAGUAGUGUGGAAACAGGAUUCCAGGUGCACUUCUCUGAUCCUGCUGGUCUUUCUUCCUCUUUCUCUUCCUUGCCAACCCCUGCCUGACCAUCACCUUUAUUUUUCAG
RNAcentral lists this long non-coding RNA (1369 nucleotides) under Homo sapiens (human). RNAcentral describes it as "HSALNT0198784". The record is from RNAcentral. Lineage: Eukaryota; Metazoa; Chordata; Mammalia; Primates; Hominidae.